AAAAAAAAGAAGAGGGAAGGGAAUUAGCGUACAAGUUACUAGAAAAAAGAGAGUAAGUAAUCCUACAAGAUCUUAUGCUAGACAUACAUUUCAGUUUCUACUGCAGUAGGAAUACAAGUUUUGCAUUCUUGAUGAUGAGUGUUUAUAUGAUUAUGCAAUUAGAAAAACUUGAUAGCAUAUUUAGAAUAUAAUUUUUUCCGCAUUUUUAUUCUUCAUCCACCAAUUGUGAAGUGUGCUGCAAAAUACCACCAAGCUCAGUCUAAAAGAGAAGAAGAAGAAGAAGA
RNAcentral lists this unclassified non-coding RNA (284 nucleotides) under Hevea brasiliensis (rubber tree). Lineage: Eukaryota; Viridiplantae; Streptophyta; Magnoliopsida; Malpighiales; Euphorbiaceae. The record is from RNAcentral.